RNAcentral lists this long non-coding RNA (543 nucleotides) under Androctonus crassicauda. Lineage: Eukaryota; Metazoa; Arthropoda; Arachnida; Scorpiones; Buthidae. The record is from RNAcentral.
AUCGAAAAAGAAUUUAGAGAUCACUAUUCCUGACUUUCUGUAUAAGUAUAAAAUAUUCUCCAAAUAUUUUUCUUUUCGAAUUUAUUAAACAAAUAUAGGCCUAAUUUAGCUUUUUCUUCUUUAAAUUUUUAUCAUAUCUUUGGCUAAAGACUACUGCUGUCAAUAGUUGAUAGCCCGUAUAUCAAACAAGAAUCGAAAAAGAGCAUGCACAUUCUUUCUUCAUUCCAUUCAACUAUGUACGCCUUAACAUUCAAAGGAAAAGGAACGGAACAAUUCCUUUCCUUUCGCUUUUCCGUUCUGACGAAUUAUGAACCGAUCUUAAUAGUUCAAAAGUUUCAGGAUAAGCUGGUAGUCGGGAAAAAGUUGAAUUUAAGUAAUUUUUUCAUUUUAAAUUACUGUGUAUCAUUAAAUAUCUAAGUUAUGCACUAUUAGAUUAUGGCUUCAAAUAAAUCCGUUUUAAAAAAUAGAACUAAUAUCAUAAUGAUGCUUUUGCGUGACUUUAGGAGUUCAUACGAAAUUUUAAGCGAUUUAAAGAAGAAAUCU